RNAcentral lists this long non-coding RNA (1408 nucleotides) under Bos indicus x Bos taurus (hybrid cattle). RNAcentral's name for it is "lncRNA (ENSBIXG00005027838.1)". Lineage: Eukaryota; Metazoa; Chordata; Mammalia; Artiodactyla; Bovidae. The record is from RNAcentral.
CGCGACCCGUAGGGCUCGUGUAUAAAAAAGCUCAGCUAGGGUGGGUGGAGACUUCUAUUAACGUGGGUUCUAGCCGGUCUCUGGUCCUAGAGCUUGGCCUCAGGUCCGAUGCCUAAUGUUUCAUUCCUUGGCGCCUUAGAACCGUCGCUUUAUCAGUCUCCUUGUUUCUAAAUCGGAGGUGAUGAUAAUUGAGAUGAGGCCUGGCCCAUAGUGAGCUCCCUGCAUUUUUUACAUAUUGUUUGCUCGGGAGCCUGGCCUCACCCUGCUCGCGAAGGGUAUCAAACUCGACAGCCCAGGUGCUUAGCGUCAGCAGAGAAAAGCAGAGUGUGGGCUUUCAAGGCAGAUUGCCUAGUUCAAACCAUGCCCCAUGCUUUACUUGAGGCAUCACACUGCUGGGCCUCACGGGAUGAUCUAGUCCUUGACUGGGCUAUUGUGAAGAUUAAGUAAGAUGAUGUUUAUUUAGUGCUUGGUGCAUCCAUAGGCCCUCAGUAAACAUUAAUUUAUAUUCCACGUUUAUCGCCUUGCUUUGGGCCUACCGCCAAUUAAUCUCUCAUUCUGGUUUAGAGAAUUUGGAGGCAACCUAAGCAAACAGAUAAGAAAGAUGUCAUUGGAGAAUCGGACUGUGGAAAUUCCAUCCAAACAUAAAAAAUGUUCAGAUUGGCAGUGUUGAGUUGUUCAAGAUAGCCUGAAAAGGUUGGCAGGUGGUGAUAAUUAUGCUUUGAACACAGCUUGUGGCUGUCAACUACACAUUUGGAGAGCUUGGGGAAGUAACACUUUGUAAUGUCAAAGUUUAUGUAUGGUCAUGGUAUUCCUUUUGCAGGAGGAGGGCAGGGGGACACUGCAAGUUCCAGGACCACUCCCCCUCCAGCAACUUCAGGCCUGGCUGCUAACAGUGACCGUAGGAAGUCACCGUCCCUCAUUGCUCCCCUUUCACCCUGUUCAUGACUCCUCAGUUCUGUCUCUUAAGAGCAUGAUCUGUGUGACAGCUGACCAAUACAGGUAUGUGUAUCUGUGUUACUGAAUUCAAAAUUCCAGGUUAUAGAUCCCUGCAUCACAUUAGAUGCUCCCAGGACGAAGUCUUCACUUACAUCCAAGACCCUAUCCCCUCUACCUACAAUGCCCUCCUUUCCUCUCCUUCUCAGGCUUUCGGAGUCAGAUGUCACCUCCUCCCAGAAGCCUUCCUUGAACUUCCUGAAGCUAAGUGAAGAACCUUCCUCAGUGACAACUCCAACAUAGCACUUCACCAAACGGACUGUCACUGUCUGCUUGUCUGACUCACUGAACUCUGAGCUCCCAAGUGCAGGAGCUGUUUCAUUCAUCAUGGCACCCCUGGUACCCAGCAUGGUUCUGAGCCCUGGUGACACUCAGUAAUCAGCUGGUGGCAUAAAUAAACCAAGUAUCUCUCCCA